GUCGUAAAUAGCUGAUGUAUAAAGAGUCUGGUUGCCCUUUCACGGCGGUAACAGGGGUUCGAAUCCCCUUGGGGACGCCA
RNAcentral lists this transfer RNA (80 nucleotides) under Gammaproteobacteria bacterium. RNAcentral describes it as "tRNA-Ser". The record is from RNAcentral. Lineage: Bacteria; Pseudomonadati; Pseudomonadota; Gammaproteobacteria.